GAUGAACGCUGGCGGCGUGCCUAAUACAUGCAAGUCGUACGGAAAGGCCCUUCGGGGUACUCGAGUGGCGGACGGCUGAGUAACGCGUGGGAACGUGCCCCAAAGUGAGGGAUAACGCACCGAAAGGUGUGCUAAUACCGCAUAUGGUCUUCGGAUUAAAGCUUCGGCGCUUUGGGAGCGGCCCGCGUACGAUUAGAUAGUUGGUGAGGUAAUGGCUCACCAAGUCGACGAUCGUUAGCUGGUCUGAGAGGAUGAUCAGCCAGACUGGGACUGAGACACGGCCCAGACUCCUACGGGAGGCAGCAGUAAGGAAUCUUCCACAAUGGGGGCAACCCUGAUGGAGCAACGCCGCGUGCAGGAUGAAGGUUUUCGGAUCGUAAAUUGCUUUUAUAAGUGAAGAAUAUGACGGUAACUUAUGAAUAAGGAUCGGCUAACUACGUGCCAGCCGCCGCAGUAA
RNAcentral lists this ribosomal RNA (457 nucleotides) under uncultured bacterium. RNAcentral's name for it is "partial 16S ribosomal RNA". It matches the Rfam family "Bacterial small subunit ribosomal RNA", at positions 28 to 523 of the family's 1533-position model. The record is from RNAcentral.